ACAAUAUCAAAUAAACCAUGCCCAGCUCUAUCAAAUCUACAAGAGCUUUUCUACCACUAACAGAUACUACACACCCUCUAUAGACCUUCUUUACCACUACAGAGUCUCCUACCAGGGUAGAAACAAAAAAAGGGAAUUGAGUGACUCUCAAGACCAAAAACUAAGAUGCAUAGUCACAUAUAGGGUCACAUAACAAAGAGUAGAGACUAGGUCAAGAAAGUAAUACACAUCAUAUG
Molecule: long non-coding RNA, 236 nt
Filed under: Capsicum annuum
Lineage: Eukaryota; Viridiplantae; Streptophyta; Magnoliopsida; Solanales; Solanaceae
Description: long non-coding RNA (CANN_LNC019138)
Source: RNAcentral